This 2896-nucleotide ribosomal RNA is filed under the name Clostridioides difficile. RNAcentral's name for it is "bacterial LSU rRNA". It matches the Rfam family "Bacterial large subunit ribosomal RNA". The record is from RNAcentral. Lineage: Bacteria; Bacillati; Bacillota; Clostridia; Peptostreptococcales; Peptostreptococcaceae.
UCAAGUUAUUAAGGGUGCAGGGCGGAUGCCUUGGCACUAGGAGCCGAUGAAGGACGUGAUAAGCUGCGAUAAGCUUCGGGGAGUUGCACGUAAACUUUGAUCCGAAGAUUUCCGAAUGAGGAAACUCACUUAGAGUAAUGUCUAAGUAUCAUUAAGUGAAUACAUAGCUUAAUGAGGGGAACUCAGGGAACUGAAACAUCUAAGUACCUGAAGGAAGAGAAAGAAAUUCGAUUCCGUAAGUAGCGGCGAGCGAACGCGGAUUAGCCCAAACCAAUAAAGUUUUCUUUGUUGGGGUUGCGGACAUAUCAUAACGAAGAGGUAUCGUAAUUGAAGAGGUUUGGAAAGACCCACCACAGAAGGUAAUAGUCCUGUAUGUUAAACGAGAAGACUUCAGAUAUGAUCCAGAGUACCACGGGACACGUGAAACCCUGUGGGAAGCAGGAGGGACCACCCUCCAAGGCUAAAUACUACCUAGUGACCGAUAGCGUAUAGUACCGUGAGGGAAAGGUGAAAAGAACCCCGGGAGGGGAGUGAAAUAGAACCUGAAACCCUGCACUUACAAGCUGUGGAAGCACAUUUCUUGUGUGACCGCGUACUUUUUGUAGAACGGGCCAACGAGUUACGUUAAGUAGCAAGGUUAAGCACUUAAGGUGCGGAGCCGUAGCGAAAGCGAGUUUUAACUGAGCGUUCAGUUACUUGACGUAGACCCGAAACCGGGCGACCUACCCAUGAGCAGGAUGAAGCGAAAGUAAAAUUUCGUGGAGGUCCGAACCCACGAGCGUUGAAAAGCUCGGGGAUGACUUGUGGGUAGCGGUGAAAUUCCAAUCGAGCCCGGAGAUAGCUGGUUCUCCCCGAAAUAGCUUUAGGGCUAGCCUCAAGGUGAGAGAUACGGAGGUAGAGCACUGAAUGUCCUAGGGGGUAUUGCACCUACCGAAGACUAUCAAACUCCGAAUGCCGUCAUCUUAUACUUGGGAGUCAGACUGUGGGUGAUAAGAUUCAUAGUCGAAAGGGCAACAGCCCAGAUCGUCAGCUAAGGUCCCUAAAUGUAAGUUAAGUGGUAAAGGAUGUGGGAUUGCACAGACAACCAGGAUGUUGGCUUAGAAGCAGCCACUCAUUCAAAGAGUGCGUAAUAGCUCACUGGUCGAGUGAUCCUGCGCCGAAGAUUUCCGGGGCUAAAACUUACUACCGAAGCUACGGCAUCAGUAAUGAUGGGUAGGGGAGCUUCCCAUACGGGUUGAAGCAUGACCGUAAGGACAUGUGGACAGUAUGGGAGUGAGAAUGUUGGCAUGAGUAGCGAGAUGUGGGUGAGAAUCCCACAGGCCGUAAACCCAAGGUUUCCAGGGGAAGGUUCGUCCGCCCUGGGUUAGUCGGGACCUAAGCUGAGGCUGAAAGGCGUAGGUGAUGGACAACAGGUUGAUAUUCCUGUACUACCGAUAACCGUUUGAGAGAAGGGAUGACACAGUAGGAUAAGCUAAGCACACUGUUGGUUAUGUGUGCCCAAGCAUUGAGGCAGUCAAAGUAGGCAAAUCCGCUUUGAUAAUGCUGGGAUGUGAUGGGGAGCGAAAUUUAGUAGCGAAGUAGCUGAUUUCACACUGUCAAGAAAAGUCUCUAUCGAGGUUAAAGGUACCCGUACCGCAAACCGACACAGGUGGGUGAGGAGAGUAUCCUAAGGCCAGCGAGAGAACUGUUGUUAAGGAACUCGGCAAAAUGACCCCGUAACUUAGGGAUAAGGGGUGCCACCAUCAGGUGGCCGCAGAGAAUAGGCCCAAGCGACUGUUUACCAAAAACAUAGGUUUCUGCUAAGUCGCAAGACGAUGUAUAGGAGCUGACGCCUGCCCGGUGCUGGAAGGUUAAGGGGAUCUGUUAGAGCAAUCGAAGCAGUGAACUUAAGCCCCAGUAAACGGCGGCCGUAACUAUAACGGUCCUAAGGUAGCGAAAUUCCUUGUCGGGUAAGUUCCGACCCGCACGAAAGGCGUAACGAUUUGGGCACUGUCUCAACAACAGACUCGGUGAAAUUGUAAUUCCGGUGAAGAUGCCGGAUACCUGCGACAGGACGGAAAGACCCCAUGGAGCUUUACUGUAGCUUGACAUUGGGUCUUGGUACUACAUGUACAGGAUAGGUGGGAGGCUUUGAAACCAGGACGCCAGUUUUGGCGGAGCCAUCCUUGGGAUACCACCCUUGUAGUACUGGGACUCUAACCAUAGGCCAUGAAUCUGGUCUUGGGACACUGUCAGGUGGGCAGUUUGACUGGGGCGGUCGCCUCCCAAAAGGUAACGGAGGCGCUCAAAGGUUCUCUCAGUACGGUCGGAAAUCGUACGUAGAGUGUAAAGGCAAAAGAGAGCUUGAUUGCAAGACAUACAGGUCGAGCAAGGAUGAAAAUCGGACUUAGUGAUCCGGUGGUUCUGCGUGGAAGGGCCAUCGCUCAACGGAUAAAAGCUACCCUGGGGAUAACAGGCUUAUCUCCCCCAAGAGUCCACAUCGACGGGGAGGUUUGGCACCUCGAUGUCGGCUCAUCACAUCCUGGGGCUGUAGUAGGUCCCAAGGGUUGGGCUGUUCGCCCAUUAAAGUGGUACGCGAGCUGGGUUCAGAACGUCGUGAGACAGUUCGGUCCCUAUCCGUCGCAGGCGUAGGAAAUUUGAGAAGACCUGUCCUUAGUACGAGAGGACCGGGAUGGACGUACCUCUGGUGUACCAGUUGUUCUGCCAAGGGCAUGGCUGGGUAGCUAUGUACGGAAUGGAUAAGCGCUGAAAGCAUCUAAGCGCGAAGCCAACUUCAAGAUAAGAUUUCCCACCGCAAGGGUAAGACCCCAGAAAGACUAUCUGGUUGAUAGGUCGAAGGUGUAAGUGCAGCAAUGUAUUUAGCUUAUCGAUACUAAUAGGUCGAGGACUUGACCAA